AUCCUUUUGUAGUUCAUAAGCAUAAUGAUUGGGUUUUCACGUGCAUGUGUGACAUGUGUCUCCCUCAAACCUUGUUACAACAUUGGCACAUUACCUGUCGAUA
This 103-nucleotide small nucleolar RNA is filed under the name Microcebus murinus (gray mouse lemur). RNAcentral describes it as "Small nucleolar RNA U13 (ENSMICG00000034078.2)". It matches the Rfam family "Small nucleolar RNA U13". The record is from Rfam by way of RNAcentral. Lineage: Eukaryota; Metazoa; Chordata; Mammalia; Primates; Cheirogaleidae.